GCUCAGAGUGAACGCUGGCGGUAGGCCUAACACAUGCAAGUCGAACGGCAGCACAGUAAGAGCUUGCUCUUAUGGGUGGCGAGUGGCGGACGGGUGAGGAAUACAUCGGAAUCUACCUUUUCGUGGGGGAUAACGUAGGGAAACUUACGCUAAUACCGCAUACGACCUUCGGGUGAAAGCAGGGGACCUUCGGGCCUUGCGCGGAUAGAUGAGCCGAUGUCGGAUUAGCUAGUUGGCGGGGUAAAGGCCCACCAAGGCGACGAUCCGUAGCUGGUCUGAGAGGAUGAUCAGCCACACUGGAACUGAGACACGGUCCAGACUCCUACGGGAGGCAGCAGUGGGGAAUAUUGGACAAUGGGCGCAAGCCUGAUCCAGCCAUACCGCGUGGGUGAAGAAGGCCUUCGGGUUGUAAAGCCCUUUUGUUGGGAAAGAAAAGCAGUCGAUUAAUACUCGGUUGUUCUGACGGUACCCAAA
This 474-nucleotide ribosomal RNA is filed under the name Stenotrophomonas rhizophila. RNAcentral's name for it is "bacterial SSU rRNA". It matches the Rfam family "Bacterial small subunit ribosomal RNA", at positions 22 to 483 of the family's 1533-position model. The record is from RNAcentral. Lineage: Bacteria; Pseudomonadati; Pseudomonadota; Gammaproteobacteria; Lysobacterales; Lysobacteraceae.